GGGCCAUCAAGAUGAGGAGCCAGGGGCUGGGUAGAUGGGAGUCACCCAAGCUCAUAGAGUCUGGGGUCCGUGAGGCUAGAGAGGCUGAUUUCCGGUUCCCCCCUCUGCUGUGGGUCUCAGGGACACAGUCGGAACCGGGAGAUCGGCAGAG
Long non-coding RNA from Chelonia mydas (Green sea turtle), 151 nucleotides. RefSeq lists it as uncharacterized. NCBI's taxonomy places the organism in Eukaryota, Metazoa, Chordata, Testudines, Cheloniidae. The record is from RefSeq and is a predicted model, not a curated record. The transcript has 3 exons.